Oreochromis aureus is the source of this 335-nucleotide long non-coding RNA. NCBI's taxonomy places the organism in Eukaryota, Metazoa, Chordata, Actinopteri, Cichliformes, Cichlidae. The record is from Ensembl.
GAACAGUAACCAAUCACUGCAGUCUGAAUGCUUCUCUUUGGUCAUGUGACCAUUUGAUCUCUGAUCAGUGUGUUCUUCAGUUUCAGGCCUGUUUCUGCUGACUGCUGCAGGUGUGUGUGUGCUGCUGCUGUCUGCUCUGACCGUUUCUACAGCUCCUCCUCCCUGUGAGUCUGUGCUGAGGCUCUUCUGCCAUCUAGUGGUCUUCUGUCCGUACUGCAUCUCCACUGGUCUGCUGCUGUCCAUCUCUUGGAGCAGAAAACAACCAAACAAACCGUCCGUCUCCAUGGAGAUGAGCCAGCGUGAUGGAGGAGGUCAGGGACUGGUUGAAGAUGAUG